CUUCUACACUGAACAGAAUGAAGGUCAUCCUGACCAUGUACAUAUGUACUAGAAGGGAAACUGAAGGUAGAGAAAUGGUGUAAAAAAAAAUGCUAUCAAUCAGGACUCACUACAGCAUUUUCCUGCUAAGGAACCUCAGCACAAUCCCAAAUUCUAAAGCCCACGGCUAAGUAGUAAGUACCCAAGUAUGAAUACCCACACUGCACUCAUGUAACUAACUCGUCAAAUCCUCUCCCGCCUCACUCAUACAUAAUACAAGCUCCUGGCACCGAGAUCAAAUUUGCUUAAUAAAGUUUAUCUCUUUCCAAAAUCUUAUCAACACAAUCACUUCGGCAGGCAAAUAUGAUAACUAAAUUAAAUGAUAAUUAAAAAUUUCUUGUAAAUGUAAUUGAAAUAUGCACCCAACAGUUCCAUCCCUGUCUCUACUUCAGCUGAGAAAAAAGAAAAACGUCAAACUGUCUUGUUUUCCUUUGUCUUUCCUGAAUUUCCUUGGCAAAGAUCUUUUUUGUUUGUCUUUGGUUAUCCUGAGCUACAAAGUAUCUUUUGUUUCAUUCAUACUGACAAUUUCUGAGACCCCUCUGUGAUAGCCACCAAACGUCUGCGAGAACACCGGCCUUUUCAAACCACUGUCCACAUGUGUAGGAAGCAUGAAUUCUCCGGUUUGUGCUGUGUCCAGCUGAAGUUUUUAAGACGGAAGAGGUUUUAUUGAGCAAAGGCGUGAAUCACAACAGCUGAUGGAGCUUUUGCAAUAGGAACUCUAAAGGCAUCAUUUGCAAGAUAUUUCUGACCUGGAAAGGAAUGCACUUUGCUUUGGAAGUUCGCCAUUAUGAACUGUCUUAGUUCUGCAGAGCCACGUUCAUUCGGAAGCAUCUGGAAGCAUCUGUAGGUUUCCUGACACAUCCAAGCCCAGUGUCUCACUUAGCCAAAUCAUCUUUCAUUGGAAGAAGACAACAUUAAGCAAGGAAAAAGAAACAAAGCAAAAACAGCCUAAAGGUCUGAGAGUGAGAGGCUAAACCAUGUAUAAUUAAUUUCUAAGCAAAGGCAGCCUUGGCCGGCCUUCCCUCCAUACUCACAAGAACUCCAAUGAACCAGGGAGCCCUAGGUCAUAGAAGAAAUUACUCAUGCUGCAAUGGAGGAUGCAUCUUUCUGCAGGCCCUGGUGACAACCAAUCACACGUAACAGAAGAGAAGCUCUCUCCGAACUGAAGCCCUUCCCAAACUACCAACUCGGGCAAGCCUCAACACUCCUGGGCACCAGGCAUGUGUGGGAGAUGGGAGCACUCUGUGCUCUUAGUGGUGCCAACACCACUGCUAAGUGCAAGAUGAAACCGACACACAGCUGCACCUUUUGGAGGCAUUCUCCAUUUAAAAGAAAGAAAAGAAAAAGUUAGUGCCUGGCAGGACAGAGUGGAAAGUUUAAGCAGAAACAUCAAAACGGCAGAGGCUGCCCCAGCCAAGUAUUUCAUUCCUAAUGGAAGCAGCUUGGAAGUGUGUAAAAAAACGGCUCGUUACCACUCAAAAUGUAACUGGAAAUACACAGGAAAGAAAGGAUAUAUGCAAAUGGGGACCAAUAUUAAAUCAAGAUGUUAAACUGUCUAAUGACUUGAUGCAUCCAUGCUUUAUUCCUGUCCAAAAAAAAUAUAUAAGUAAAUAAAUAAAACUUCUCUUGUGACUUCAAAA
Molecule: long non-coding RNA, 1679 nt
Organism: Mesocricetus auratus (golden hamster)
Lineage: Eukaryota; Metazoa; Chordata; Mammalia; Rodentia; Cricetidae
Exons: 2
Source: RefSeq, a predicted model, not a curated record